Molecule: long non-coding RNA, 877 nt
Organism: Topomyia yanbarensis
Lineage: Eukaryota; Metazoa; Arthropoda; Insecta; Diptera; Culicidae
Exons: 4
Source: RefSeq, a predicted model, not a curated record
UUGUAAAAUGUAAAGGUAAUCAUACAAGUCGUAUGUUUUCCAUAUUAAUCUUAUGAAAUCAUAGUUUUGUUACUUUUCUAGUCAUCAUAAGAUGAAUCUUAUGAAUUUCGCUAUGCAUUUUGCCUUAGCGUAGGAUAAAGCAAUUAGCGCUGGAUCUAAAACAUGAGUCGAUGAUGAUCGAGUUGCACUUUUUGUUGCCAACGAACGGAAAACAAAUAAAUAAUUGAAGAAAUUUUUCUCCUCAAAAUAUUUGAUUAUUUCUGCUGCCUCUGCACUCCUUGCUGUCGUUCGAUUCCGUUCACGUGGCUUCGACGUGCUGCCUCGUGGAUCGGCAACUCGUUGGUAGCGAGCCGCGUGGCUUGUUUCGAUAUUCCACCUGUUGCUAUGGGCCUUGGUUGCCUCUAGAUGACCUCGCAUCUGCGUGGUGACUUCAGGAAACUAUUCAGUCAUGUCAAACUGAGGCUUCCAAUAGUCAACACCGGUGAAACAACGUCAUCUCGGUUAUUGACUUCAGAUACAUCGAGCAAUACGGAACAUUUGAACAAGACUGUAGCUUACCCGAGCUCCGAGCCACUACAAUUCCAUUUGACUUUAGUCAUACCGGCUGGAAUAUAAUAUAGAAUUCUGGCUGUCUAAGAGACAAGUAUUUUAAUUGUGCAUUCAUUUUUUUUUGUUUUUUGUUGAUGAUUAAUUCAUUUCAAAUAUAUUUGUAGUUGGGACUAUGGCCACAUUUGCAAUUAUGGUGCCACUGACAUAUGAGCAAGCGUAUGGGGGAUAGACCACUAGUGAAUAAUUGUUCUUAAACCUGAGGGGUAACCACCCAUAUUGAUGGUGGUUUUAAGUGUUUUGUUACCAGCCGCCAUCUUGGAUUUCAAAA